RNAcentral lists this long non-coding RNA (1033 nucleotides) under Pan troglodytes (chimpanzee). RNAcentral describes it as "long non-coding RNA NONPTRT010315". The record is from RNAcentral. Lineage: Eukaryota; Metazoa; Chordata; Mammalia; Primates; Hominidae.
CUGGCAUGGGAAUGAGGCAGGAGGCCCAGCCGUGGGGAACUGGAGGUCCUGCCUUUUUGAGACGGAAGCCACUGAACAGGUGAGGACUGAAGUUUAGAGUUUGGAUGGUUUACUGCCUUUGAUUGGCACACAGCCGCCGGUGUAUGUACGUUGUGUGUGUGCAAUGGUGAGGCCACUGUGCACCCGGUGGCUGGCUUCUCAUGAGUUUAACACACACUCACCACACCAGUCAGCCCUCACGUCUUUACCCUGGAUCCUUUUCUAGAAAGGAUCUGGAAAGUAAACAUUUUAGACUUUGAGGGCCACAGUCACUGUCCCUGUUCCUCUCUGUGGUUGUCCUGCCAGACACACACCAUGAGUUUACAAAGACAGGCGGCGGGUGGAUGUGGCCUGGGGCCUGUUUGCCAAUGCCAGCCCCAGAAAAUAAAACUUAUGUUUGCAUAAAUACCUAUACACAGAUAUUUCUACCCAGGCAUAAUCACCAAGUGCUGGAAGCAACACAAGCGUCCUUCAAUGGUGAACGGAUGGCAGGGCCCCCAGAAGACCACACGAAAGUCGUGUAGAGAAGACGUCAGGUGAGCUCUGGGAUGAGGAAUCUUCAGAGGAGGCGAAGAUUCCUCUGAAUCCUCCGAGGAGGCGAAGAUUCCUCUGAAUCCUCCUUCAGAGGAGUCUGGGGGUGGGAGGGCACAGGGCAUGGGGUAUCCAGGAGCCAAGCAAAGUGGGGGUUUCCGGGAGAAGGACUGAGGCACCCUCAAGGCUGCAGAUGGGGCGUCAGAUGUCGGGGAGAACGAGCUGGAGAUGGACACGGACAUGGAGGUGUGGAUGGCCCUGGGGAGGCCCCCUGGCAGCUGGUGGAUGGCAGGAGCAGCGUGGACAGCAGGAGCAGCAUGAACUGCAGGAGCGGCGUGGGAUGAGAGAGCCAUGCACAGUUCUUCCUCCUGCUGAGAGAACAGAUCCUGUGUGACCUUCACACCUUCAUUAUUGGAAACUGCUAAUGUGUGUUCCUUUUGAAAUGUGCAAGAUGUUGGACGUG